Molecule: long non-coding RNA, 8237 nt
Organism: Camelus dromedarius (Arabian camel)
Lineage: Eukaryota; Metazoa; Chordata; Mammalia; Artiodactyla; Camelidae
Exons: 3
Source: RefSeq, a predicted model, not a curated record
GGGAGGCGGGCAAUGAACCAGCAGUUAAAUGGGGAUACAUAUGCAUUGUAGUUGUUUAAAAUUUACUUCCUCUACUCCUCAACAACUCAGAGUGUACAAUUUCACUUUUUACUGAGUGAUCAUUUCUAGAUUUGACUCAUUUAUCUUGAUUGGAAUCUUUAAUAGGAUCUCUCCAUUAAAAAGUUUGAAAAAUCCCUUGUGGAUCAAGACACAUGAGGCUAAAACUGCACAUUAUACAUACCAAAGCUGAAAACACACACUUCCUUUGAAAUCUCGCCGUUUGUGACAACAUGGACGGACCUUGACGGUAUUAUGCUAAGUCAAACUGAGAAAGACAGCAUAUGAUUUCACUCAUAUGUAGAAUAAUAAUAAAAAAAACCUAAUAAACUAACAGCAAAAUACAUGAGGAACCAAACCAAAGAAAAGCAUGUGGAUGCAGAGAACAGAGUAGUGGUUACCAGAGGGGGAGGGUGAAAUGAGUAAACGGGAACAACUGUAUGUCACGAACAGAAACUAAAAUUUUCGUGGUGGGUGGGCUAUAGGGUAUACAGAAAUGUGCACGUGAAACUUAUAUGUUAUAACCCAAUGUUACUCUGAUGUAAAAAAAUGAUUUUAAAAGAGAAGAAAGAAAAAAUACAUUUCUUUGACCUAAUAAUUCUAUUGUUGGAAAUACAACAUACCCUUUAGGUAUACUAGCAAAAGUACAGCAAGUCUUGUGUUUCACAAUAUCAGUGAGAUGGUUAGGACAUAAUGUAAAUGUCCUAAAAUAAUUGACAUGAGAUUGGUUAAAAAUGACCAUGAACACAAUACAGCAAUAAAAUGUACCUGGUACAUUUGCCUUAGGUGCUGACACUGAAAGGCUCCUGGAUACAUGAUGAUUAAGUGAAGAAGAUAAGGAGCAGAACAUUCUGUAUAGUAUGAUCCAAUUUUUGUACAUUUUAAAAAGGUAACACACACACAUACUGAUAGUUAUAAAGCAUUUAUAAAGUAAAAUCCCUCAAACUGUUAAUAAUCAUUCCUAGUGGAAUUUUUACAACAUCCAUGUAUCACUUGUUUUCCAGACACUACUAGAAACCUAAAUUUAAAUCAUUUUGUAAUAUUUGUAAGCUGAUGUCAAAUAAUCCUUGGGAUUUUUUUGUUAAUAAAAAUGUUACCUUAAAGGUCUGACUUACUUAGAUUAGUAACUCCUUUGCUUUUCAGAGAUCAGAUAUGUUAGACGGAGCUUUUAGUUUGCAGGGGAAUCAGACAGCCAGCAACAACCAUGACAAGGAACAGAAAUAAUCAGUUAAACCUGAGAUACAUGGUAAGCUAGAAAAGUGCUGAGUAGAAAAGCUGAAUCUAGUUUAGAACAGGAAUGGAAGGAUAGAUAAGGCCUCUGGAGAAAUAUUAUUUAAACCCUGAGGCAUGGAGUAGCUUCCAGUGCAUUUCUUGUAAUGGUCUCUACUGUUAAAUAUCACAUACGAUGAUAUUCACCAGCUCCUAGAUAAAUUAAAUGCCGUAUGUUGCGCGUGGAGUCUAUCAGAGCUGAAGUCUUCAUGGAAGGAGCUGAAGUGAGGAGGGUCCCACAGCACAGACAGAGCUGCCUUAGUGGAUCAUUUGGUCCCCUGACGGACAGACAGAAUGCAGGCAUGCGCGCUAUGACUGCUCUCUCCACUUACCACAAAUCCCCUGGAUCACCAGGCUGCUGAACUUUCUACAUGACCUUGUCAGGCAUAGUUGAACUCUCCAGGCCACUGUACAUUUCCUCGGGGGAGAAGGUCUUCUCACUUCAUGAUCAAGUGUGAGCCUGAGGAACACGGGGAAACCCUCCACCUCUGCCCCCGAAUUCCCAGCCAUCCCGGCAAAGAGGAUGGGCCCGAGGCUUUUAGGGCUUUUCUCUCUUCUGGAGAAGCCAGUUUCCAUCUGAUGUUUGAGAAGAAAAAUGAAAAGAUACAGCCUACAACACAAGUGGGAGACACACAAUAGCAACAGGAAAAAGGAUGGGCUCAGAGGCUUCGUCCAUCCAGGCAGAAGAAAGUACUAAGUCACCCAUCAGAAUUGCUAAAAUGAAGAAAAACUGUCAAUAUUGAUGGUAGGUAAGAAUGGGGAGUAACUGGAAUUUUCACAUGCUGUUCAUGAGAACAUAAAUUGGUAUAAACCCUUUGGAAAACUGUUUGGCAGAAUCUGCUAAAGCUAAACCCUCUGACUGAGCAAUUCCUCUCUUGGGUAAAAACUCAAAAGACCAUGAAACUAGAAAUCAACUACAGAGAAACAAAGGAGAAAAAAAAGGAUAGUGUGGAGAUUAAACAACAUGCUAUUAAAAAACCAAUGGGUCAAUGAUGAAAUCGAAGUUGAAAUUAAAAACUACCUUGAGACAAAUGAAAAUGAAAACACAACCACACAAAAUUUAUGGGACACAGCAAAGGCAGUGCUAAGAGAGAAGUUUAUAGUGAUACAGGCCUUCCUCAAAAAAGAACAAUCUCAAAUAAAUAAUCUAACCCACCAGCUAAAAGAAUUAGAAAAAGAAGAGCAAAAAACCCCAAAAGGCAGCAGAAGGAAGGAAAUAAUAAAGAUCAAGGGGGAAACAAAUUAAAGAGACUAAAACAAAACAAAACAAAACAAAAAAAACCCCAAAAGCUGGUUUUUUGAAAAAGUAAGUAAAAUCGACAACCUCUGGCCAAACUCACAAAAAAGAAAAAAGAGCACAAAUAAGCAAAAUAAGACAGGAAAAUGGAGACAUUACAACAAAUAACAUAGAAAUACAGAAUAUCAUAUGAGAAUAUUAUGAAAAAGUAUAUGGAACCAAAAUGGAUAACCUAGAGGAGAUGGACAAGUUUCUGGAAACAUACAGUCCACCAAGACUGAACCAAGAAGAAACUGACCACUUGAACAAGCUGAUCACUAGAAAUGAAAUUGAAUUAGCAAUAAAACAACCUCCCUGCAAAUAAAAGUCCAGGACUGGACAGCUUCACUGGGGAAUUCUACCAAACAUACAAAGAAGAACUCAUACCAGUCCUUCUCAAACUCUUCCAGAAGAUGGAAAAGGAGGGAAUACUCCCAAACUCAUUCUAUGAAGCCACCAUGACCCUGAUACCAAAACCAGGCAAAGACACUACCAAAAAAGAGAAUUAUAGGUCAGUAUCACUGAUGAACAUAGAUGCAAAAAUCCUCACCAAAAUAUUAGCAAAUAGGAUCCAACAGCACAUAAAAAAGAUUAUACAUCAUGACCAAGUGGGGUUCAUCCCAGGGACACAAGGGUGGUUCAACAUACACAAAUCAAUCAAUGUAAUACAUCACAUCAACAAGAGAAAGGACAAAAACCACAUGAUCAUCUCAAUAGAUGCAGAAAAGGCAUUUGAUAAAAUUAAGCACCCAUUUAAUGAUAAAAACUCUCACCACAGUGGGUAUAAAGGGAACAUAUCUCAACAUAAUAAAAGCUAUAUAUGACAAACCUAUAGCCAGCAUAGUACUCAACGGUGAAAAACUCAAAACCAUCCCACUAAAAUCUGGGCCAAGACAAGGAUGCCCACUAUCACCACUCCUAUUCAACAUAGUCUUGGAAGUGCUAGCCACAGCAAUCAGGCAAGUGAGAGAAAUAAAAGGGAUCCAAAUUGGAAAAGAAGAGGUAAAAGUGUCACUAUAUGCCGACGACAUGUUACUAUACAUAGAAAAUCCUAAAAGGUCCACACAAAAACUACUAGAGCUGAUUGAAGAAUUCAGCAAGGUAGCAGGUUACAAGAUUAACGUUCAAAAAUCAGUUGCAUUUCUUUAUACUAACGAUGAAUCAACAGAAAAAGAAAGUAAAGAAACAAUCCCCUUUAAAAUAGCACCCAAAGUAAUAAAAUAGCUAGGAAUAAAUCUAACCAAGGAGGUGAAAGAAUUAUACAUAGAAAACUAUAAACCAUUGAUGAAGGAAAUUAAAGAAGACUUUAGAAACUGGAAAGAUAUCCCAUGCUCCUGGAUUGGAAGAAUCAAUAUUAUUAAAAUGGUCACUGUCCAAGGUAAUCUACAGAUUUAAUGCAAUCCCUAUCAAAUUACCCAGGACAUAUUUCACAGAACUAGAAAAAAUCAUAAUAAAAUUUAUAUGGAACCACAAAAGACCUAGAAUUGCCAAAGCAUUACUGACAAAAAAGAAAGAGGCCGGAGGAAUAACUCUCCCAGACUUCAGACAAUACUAUAGAGCUACAGUCAUCAAGACAGCAUGGUAUUGGUACAAAAACAGACAUACAGACCAAUGGAACAGAAUAGAGCCCAGAAAUGAACCCACAAACUUUUGGUCAACUAAUCUUCGACAAAGGAGGCAAGAAUAUACAAUGGAAUAAAGACAGUCUCUUCAGCAAAUGGUGUUGGGAAAACUGGACAGCAGCAAGUAAAUCAAUGAAGCUAGAACACUCCCUUAAACCAUACACAAAAAUAAACUCCAAAUGGAUCAAAGACUUAAACAUAAGAAAGAUACAGUAAACCUUCUAGAGGAAAAUAUAGGCAAAACAUUAUCUGACAUAUAUCUCAAAAAUGUUCUCCUAGGGCAGUCUACCCAAGCAAUAGAAAUAAAAGCAAGAACAAACAAAUGGGACCUAAUAAAACUUACAAGCUUAUGAACAGCAAAGGAAACCAUAAGUAAAGCAAAAUGACAACCUACGGAAUGGGAGAAAAUUUUUGUAAAUGAAACCAACAAAGGCUUGAUCUCCAGAAUACAUAAGCAGCUCAUACGACUUAAUAUGAAAAAAGCAAACAACCCAAUCCAAAAAUGGGCAGAAGACCUAAACAAGCACUUCUCCAAGGAAGAAAUACAAAUGGCCAAUAGGCACAUGAAAAUAUGCUCAAUAUCACUAAUUAUCAGAGAAAUGCAAAUCAAAACUACAAUGAGGUAUCACCUCUCACCAGUCAGAAUGGCCAUCAUUCAAAAAUCCAUAAAUGACAAAUGCUGGAGAGGCUGUGGAGAAAAGGGAACCCUCCUACACUCUGGUGGGAGUGCGAUUUGGUGCAGCCACUGUGGAAAACAGUAUGGAGAUUCCUUAAAAGACUAGGCAUAGACUUACCAUAUGACCCUGUAAUCCCGCUCCUGGGCAUAUAUCCAGAAGGAACCCUACUUCAAAUGACACCUGCACCCAAAUGUUCAUAGCAGCACUAUUUACAAUAGCCAAGAGAUGGAAGAAGCCUAGAUGUCCAUCAAUAGAUGACUGGAUAAAGAAGAUGUGGUAUAUUUAUACAAUGGAAUACUCUUCAGCCAUAAAAACCAACAACAUAAUGCCAUUUGCAGCAACACGGAUAUUCCUGGAGAAUGUCAUUCAAAGUGAAGUAAGCCAGAAAGAGAAAGAAAAAUACCGUAUCAGAUCGCUUAUAUGAGGAAUCUAAAAAAACAAACAAAACAUAAAUACAAAACAGAAGCAGACUCAUAGACAUAGAACCCAAACUUGUGGUUGCCAAGGGGGUGGGGGCUGGGAAUGGACAGACUGGGAUUUCAAAAUGUAGGAUAGAUAAACAAGAUUAUACUGUAUAGCACAGGGAAAUAUAUACAAGAUCUUAUGGUAGCUCACAGAGAAAAAAAUGUGACAAUGAAUAUAUAUGUGUUCAUGUAUAACUGAAAAAUUGUGCUCUACACUAGAAUUUGACACAACAUUGUAAAAUGAUUAUAACUCAAUAAAACUGUUUAAAAAAAAACUCAACAGAAAUGCCAGCAUAAUGCACAUUAAAAGACAGGUAAACAAAUGUUCCCAGCAGCAUUAUCAUAGUUAUCUCCACAGUAAAACAACCCAAAUGUCUACCUACAGUAGAGUAAAAUAAAAUGAAUAAAUGAAGCACUAUACAGCAAUAAGAACAAAGGAAUUACUGCUGCAUGCAAAAACAUGGAUAAUUCUCAGAAACAGAAUGCUGAAUGAAAGAACUCAGACACUCAAGAGUAUAUACUGUAUGAGUCUGUUCAUACAAAGUUCAAAUAUAGGCAAAAUUAAUCUGAUGAUGGAUGUCAGAGUAGUAGUUACUUUUGGGGAGAGGCUACUUGGGAAGGUGUGCAGAGAGAAGCUUGGUACUGGCAGUGUUCUAGGGCUUAAUCUGGGCGGGGAUUACACCAGGGAGUUCCCUUUGCUAAAAGGUCAUUGAGUUCUAUGCUUCCUAUUCAGACAGUUUUCUGUAUAUAUGAUAUAUGGCAAAUAAAAAGGCUUAUGAGAAAAAAGAAACUUAUUCUAUGCCUACCACAUACUAAGUUCUUUUUAGGUUCAAGGGAUUUAAAAAAAGAGAAAAAGACAAGGAGCCAGUUGUCAUGGAGUCUACAUUCUAGUGGGAGGGGAUAACAAAUACAUAAAAAUAGCUUAAAGAUUUCAAAUAGUGGCAAGUGCCAUGAUGAUAAUUAAACUGGGUGAGGUGAUAAUGGUUAGGAGUUGGGGACAGGAUCAUCUGCUGAGAUCAGAGAAGUCCUCUCAGAGGUGGUGACACGUGAGCCAGUCUGGCCAACACAGCAAGUGGAACACAGCAAGCGGAGGGACAGACAAUGGCAGAGCAGGAGUGAGCUGGGUGUGCUGGUGGGGCCAGGCCAGGGAGGCCGCCAGUGACAGGGGCUGGAGGGAAACUCAGUUCAGCAGGUGGGCAGGGACUCGCACUUGGAGGGCCUCUGAGGAUUUUAUAUGGUUAUAGUGAUAGUAAUAUUAAUAAAAAUAAUAAUAAUAUUUAUUUUAUUCUAACUGUACUGCAUAGGCAUUGGUGGGUUUUAAGCAGGGGAAUGAUAUGUGAUUUAUGGUUUUUUUUUUUUUAAUGGAGGUACUGGGGAUUGAACCAGGACCUCGUGCAUGUUAAGCUCGCACUCUACCACUGAGCUCUACUCUCCCCACUGUGAUUUCUGUUUGAUAAUGAUAACUCAGGCUGCUGUGUGAAGAAUGGACUGUAAGACAAUGAGAUACGCUACAAAAAGUAAUAUACCAUUAAUAGUUAAUAUAUAAUUAAAACUAAUGUAUAAUUAUUCAUAAUAUUAAAUGACAAUAAUUUAUCAUUAUAUAAGAAAUCCAUCUGGGAGAACAUUUAAACAGGCCUUAUAUCUCUCAUUUCUAAAUGAGAGAUGGUGGUGGCUGGUAUGGGGUGACAGCGGAUAUAAACAGAAACAAGUAGACAAACCUCCAUACCUGAGAAGACAUCCUGAACACUGUGUGGUGGUGCCAAAUAGCAAAGAAGAUGACAAAGACUUCUGGCCUGCUUAACAAGGGUGGAUAAUGAGGCCAGGUACCCAGAUAGAGAGGAAUGAAUUGAAUUAUUAAGUCUAGUGGGGAGUGGGUGGAGAGGAAAUCCAGUGCUGUUGAGAUAUUUUAGAUAUGAGAUGUCUGUCAUAAGCACAUCCACGUAAAGAUGAAGUAGCUUUAAUGGGGACUUUGGAGUUUAGGAAGGAGGUGCGGGCUGGAAACUUCAAUUUGAGAGUCAUCUGAUAUUUAAACAUGGCUUAAUGAGAUGAGAUCAUUUAGGGAGAGAACUGAAAUAAAGGAGAGAUGGGAGCACCUAACUGAGCCCUAGGGCGCUUCAACUUUUGUAGGUCAGAGUAGAGGAGGGGAACUGUUGCAGAAGAAGCAUGAGGCAACUGCUGUCAGGCCCAUUAGAGGUAACCCGAGUGGAGAGGUGGCCUGAGCAGGUGAGGGUGAAGUCAAAGCUUCCUUCCACCUGUGGGGCCUGGCACGUAGGAGGUACUCGGGCCAUCCUGAUUGCAGAGUCUGCUGAGCUUUAUUAAAAGCAUAAUUUAAUUACAGUAUACUUCAGAAAAUUCAGGAAAUAGAGAGGAAGAACUAGUCAUGAUCCUAUCAACACAACACAGUGAUUAUAAUUUGUAUUACCUUCCAGUCUUGCUCGUUUUCCAUUCAUGGUGGAGCUGAGCGUACUAAGCAGAGCAGCCUACUUAGCGACAUCUCUUACCACGAGCAAUCUUUCCAUGCUGCUACCUGGUCUUCACGAACCCCCUAUUUAAUAAGUCUGCGUCACUGUUUCAUUGGAUGCUUGCACGGUAAUUACCACUCCUCUCCAUACUGCUUCUCAUUUCUUUCAAGUAUAAAUAAUGCUGCCAUAAAUAUCAUUAUCCAUGAAGCCUUUCCUUGUUUGGUGUUAUUUCCUUGAGAUAAAUUCCCGGCGGAGGAACUGAGUUAAAGUAUACGCUAAAAACAUUUUUUUUUAUAAAACUAGUUCAGACAAUGUUGAGAGAGAGGCAAGAUGGGACAUCCAAAAGAGAAAAUGCCAACUGAUGUGAAACAGGAGCAGAUUUGGUAAAUGCCAUGUGCGGGGGGGGGGGG